Molecule: small RNA, 130 nt
Filed under: Escherichia coli
Lineage: Bacteria; Pseudomonadati; Pseudomonadota; Gammaproteobacteria; Enterobacterales; Enterobacteriaceae
Description: RtT sRNA
Rfam family: RtT RNA
About the family: This family represents a bacterial cis-regulatory element known as RtT RNA. The exact function of RtT is unknown although it is thought that it may be involved in changing the cellular response in relation to amino acid starvation.
Source: RNAcentral
AUUCUGCCCAUGCGGGGAAGGAUGAGAAGCUUCGACUAAGGUUCGGCUCGAGCGUCAGCGAGAGCGUUGCCGCAGGCAACGACCCGAAGGGCGAAGCGCGCAGCGCUGAGUAAUCCUUCCCCCACCACCA